UGAUUGAUAGCUCAGUCAGUAGAGCAUGAGACUCAUCAUCUCAGGGUCAUGGGUUUGAGCCCUAUGUUGGGCAA
Molecule: non-coding RNA, 74 nt
Organism: Podarcis lilfordi (Lilford's wall lizard)
Lineage: Eukaryota; Metazoa; Chordata; Lepidosauria; Squamata; Lacertidae
Source: the annotation of a GenBank genome assembly